CUACGGGAGGCAGCAGUGGGGAAUCUUAGACAAUGGGCGCAAGCCUGAUCUAGCCAUGCCGCGUGAGUGAUGAAGGCCUUAGGGUCGUAAAGCUCUUUCGCCUGUGAUGAUAAUGACAGUAGCAGGUAAAGAAACCCCGGCUAACUCCGUGCCAGCAGCCGCGGUAAUACGGAGGGGGUUAGCGUUGUUCGGAAUUACUGGGCGUAAAGCGCACGUAGGCGGAUCAGAAAGUUAGGGGUGAAAUCCCGGGGCUCAACCUCGGAACUGCCUCUAAAACUCCUGGUCUAGAGUUCGAGAGAGGUGAGUGGAAUUCCAAGUGUAGAGGUGAAAUUCGUAGAUAUUUGGAGGAACACCAGUGGCGAAGGCGACUCACUGGCUCGAUACUGACGCUGAGGUGCGAAAGUGUGGGGAGCAAACAGGAUUAGAUACCCUGGUAGUCCACACCGUAAACGAUGAAUGCCAGUCGUCGGCAAGUAUACUUGUCGGUGACACACCUAACGGAUUAAGCAUUCCGCCUGGGGAGUACGGUCGCAAGAUUAAAACUCAAAG
RNAcentral lists this ribosomal RNA (549 nucleotides) under uncultured bacterium. RNAcentral describes it as "bacterial SSU rRNA". It matches the Rfam family "Bacterial small subunit ribosomal RNA", at positions 339 to 906 of the family's 1533-position model. The record is from RNAcentral.